UGGGGAAUAUUGCACAAUGGGCGAAAGCCUGAUGCAGCAACGCCGCGUGAGUGAUGAAGGCCUUCGGGUUGUAAAGCUCUGUCUUCUGGGACGAUAAUGACGGUACCAGAGGAGGAAGCCACGGCUAACUACGUGCCAGCAGCCGCGGUAAUACGUAGGUGGCAAGCGUUGUCCGGAUUUACUGGGCGUAAAGGAUGCGUAGGCGGAUACUUAAGUCAGAUGUGAAAAUCCCGGGCUUAACUUGGGAACUGCAUUUGAAACUGGGUAUCUAGAGUGCGGGAGAGGAAAGUGGAAUUCCUAGUGUAGCGGUGAAAUGCGUAUAGAUUAGGAAGAACACCAGUGGCGAAGGCGACUUUCUGGACCGUAACUGACGCUGAGGCAUGAAAGCGUGGGGAGCAAACA
RNAcentral lists this ribosomal RNA (402 nucleotides) under uncultured bacterium. Its description in RNAcentral is "bacterial SSU rRNA". It matches the Rfam family "Bacterial small subunit ribosomal RNA", at positions 355 to 774 of the family's 1533-position model. The record is from RNAcentral.